This 2640-nucleotide ribosomal RNA is filed under the name Triticum aestivum (bread wheat). RNAcentral's name for it is "partial small subunit ribosomal RNA". The record is from RNAcentral. Lineage: Eukaryota; Viridiplantae; Streptophyta; Magnoliopsida; Poales; Poaceae.
AUGUCCGAACUACCCCUGCUCAAACAGAGAAAAAGAGGCGAACUACCCGAUAUGCCCACUUUGGUAGCAGGCGGUGCGCGCGUGGCAGGCGUAGAGCGCUCCGUCGGCCGUCGCCGUGCCCCCGGUAUCCCAUCUCCCACACCAAAUCCCAAUCCGGCUCCCUGCCCCGCACCAGCGCCCAAAACCCUAGCUUUAAACCCCCGAAUCCAACCGAUUCCCCCGCCGAUUCCCGCCAUUUCUCGCCGCAGCGGCGAUCCACCGGACCUGGAUCGGUUCCUCCGUCGCCGACCAACUCUAGGUUGCUUGGGUUGUCCCGAGAGCUCUGUUCUGGUCCAUUUUCUUUCUAGGACGGAUACUCCAAUCCCAUCCAUCCUCCAGUCUGUGGCAGGUUUAUUUCCUGCGGGGUGCCUAUUCCCAGCUAAAUUUCGCUUCUCUGGUUCCUGUUUGGUAAGCAUGGAGUUCGAGGGCGAGGGGGGCAUUGGUGUCGGUGUCGGCGAUGGUGAAGGAGACGACAGGGUGGACGAGCCUACCAGAUGCCUACGCUGUGGAAUUAGCGCAAAUGCAACGCCUCAUAUGCGUCGUGGACCGAUGGGACGGCGGACUUUAUGCAAUGCAUGUGGAAUAGCAUGGGCAAAGGGAAAAUUGAGAAAAGUUAUUGAUUCUGACACCCCCAUAGAUGAUGUUCCUGUUGCAAAAAUGGUGCCUGAAGUCGGCAUGGAAUUUGACAAUGAAGACAAAGCAUAUGAAUUUUAUAACAGGUAUGCUGGACACAUCGGCUUUAGUGUUCGUAAGAGUUCAUCGGACAAAUCAGCUGACAACAUCACAAGAUCAAGGACCUUUGUAUGCUCGAGGGAGGGUUUCCGUAAGGACAAAAAAGGAGCUAAUGAAGUUAAGAGGCCAAGGCCAGAAACAAGAAUAGGAUGCCCCGCACGGAUGAUAAUUAAGAUUACAUCCUAUAAUAAAUAUCGCAUUGCUGAAUUUGUAGCAGACCAUAACCAUCAGCCAGCACCCCCAUCAACCAUGCAUAUGCUGAGAUCUCAGAGGGUGCUUACUGAGGUACAAACAACUGAAUGCAAUUCCUCAGAAGAUUCCACAACACCGUCAAGGUUUUCUGGUGGCUCUUUAGGACAGCAGGCAGGAGCUUUUAGAAAUGUUAAUUUCCUCCCUGCAGAUUACAGAAGUUCCCUUUGUUCAAAGCGUACGAAAAAUAUGCAACCUGGUGAUGCAGGAGGUGUUGUGAAGUACCUGCAGAGCAUGCAGCUAAACAAUCCGUCUUUCUUUUAUGCUGUCCAGCUUGAUGAGGAUGACAAACUGACCAACAUUUUCUGGGCCGAUUCCAAAUCUAGAGUUGAUUUCAGCUACUUCAGUGACGUGGUUUGUUUGGACACAACCUACAAGAUAAAUGCACAUGGAAGGCCAUUAACUCUCUUCCUUGGAGUGAAUCAUCACAAGCAAAUCUCCAUAUUUGGUGCUGCUUUGCUUUAUGAUGAAUCGGUGGAAUCGUUCAAGUGGUUGUUUGACACGUUCAAGAUUGCUACAGAUGGAAAGCAGCCAAAAACAAUCUUGACAGAUCAAUCAAUUGCAGCAAGUGCUGCCAUAAGCGCAGUAUGGCCAAGUACAAUUCACUGUCUUUGCCCAUGGCAAGUGUACCAAAACACUGUCAAACACCUUAAUCACAUCUUCCAAGGCUCUAAAACAUUUGCAAAGGAUUUCAGCAGAUGUGUUUAUGAUUAUGAGGAUGAAGAGGGUUUCUUGGUAGGAUGGAGAACCAUGCUAGAGAAGUAUGAUCUAAGAAACAAUGAAUGGCUUCAUAAGUUAUUCGAAGAUCGAGAUAAAUGGGCAUCAGCGUACAAUCGACAUGUAUUCACCGCAGAUAUAAAUGGUUCAUUGCAGUUAGAGUGUGUUAGCAAUGUCUUGAGAAAGUACUUGAGUCCACAGUUUGAUUUUUUGUCUUUCUUCAAGCACUAUGAAAGAGUGUUGGAUGAGCAUCGCUAUGCAGAGCUACAAGCUGAUUUUCAUGCAAGCCAAAGCUUCCCGAGAAUACCUCCCUCGAAAAUGCUGAAACAAGCUGCCAACAUAUACACACCUGUGGUUUUUGAAAAAUUUCGCAGAGAGUUUGAGAUGUUUGUGGAUUCAGUGAUCUACAGUUGUGGGGAGUCGGGAACUGCAUCGGACUAUAGAGUAGCAGUAACAGAUAGACCUGGGGAACACUAUGUUAGGUUUGACUCCAGUGACUUAUCUGUAGCUUGCAGUUGUAAAAAAUUCGAAUCAAUGGGUAUCCAGUGUUGCCAUGUGCUGAAAGUCCUUGAUUUCAGAAAUAUAAAGGAGUUGCCACAAAAAUAUUUGAUGAGAAGAUGGACGAAGGAUGCAAAGUCUGCAGACAGAGGCAAUCAAGAGUUCUUGAGUGAUGGCGCUUUGCAAACUCCAAGCUCUCGUUUAAAUGUCCCUGUGCCAAUUAUAAAUCAACCACAAUCACACUUAAAUAAUGACCAUGACCAUGCCGCUUCUGUUUCUAGCUUCGGCCACCAAGCCCUUCAGGGAAAUGCCAAUGGAAACCAGGGCUACACCCCUUUAGCCGGGAUGAACCAGCAGCCAUUUGUCGGAGGUUUCCCCCUAAACCAUGAAACGGGUUUUGAAUGA